RNAcentral lists this long non-coding RNA (1209 nucleotides) under Takifugu rubripes (torafugu). RNAcentral's name for it is "lncRNA (ENSTRUG00000027648.1)". Lineage: Eukaryota; Metazoa; Chordata; Actinopteri; Tetraodontiformes; Tetraodontidae. The record is from RNAcentral.
GACACCAGCAUACCAUUUUUAGCCCCACUCACCCAAGGCGUAAAAACGUGAUUGAAGAUACGUCUGAAUCGCCGUCACAUCACACUGACUCAUCCCAAUCAACGCUUUCAAGCAGAUCGACUUCGUCCACUGACACCAGUGACUCUACUACGUCCACGUCCUCCGAAAGUGCGGGAAAUGUCAAGGCUGCGAAAAAGAACAAACUCAAAUCCUGGUUCAUGAAAAUAUUUGGGUUGAAAUCAAGGAAGGAAGGAAGGAAAUGUGGAGUCUUUGAGAGAAACCGUGAAAAGAAGGAGAAGGAUGGUGGGCGGAACGGCUUCCAGACUCUCACCCGUCAGGCGAUCGAAACACACCCGAGACUGAGCUCCAGUCAAUCAUCCACACCAGCCGUUCACUUGAAAAGCCUGGUCAACUCUCCAACCAUCGACAAAUCGUUGUGAUCGCUUUUCGGAUGCCUGUUCGCACUGCUCAGCCUGCUCCAGCGAGACCGUGUUUGUGUGCUUCCAGCACCACUUGGUUCUGUUCUCUAACCAGAUUCUUAGUAAAACGAUUCUCAAUCUCACCUGGUUGUGUGUGUCUGCUUUUGGGGUCUUGAUUUGUGUCUGCAGUGGUUGAGGUGGACGCCACGGACGUGGGGGUUGGGGCCGUGCCGUACCUGUGCUCUGGCCCUGACAAUCGGUUACAUCCCUGUGCCUUUUAUUCCCGCCGUUUUACCACCGCUGAGGCCAACUACGAUGUGGGGAACCAUGAGUUUCUGCCAAUAAAAUUGGCAUUGGAAGAGUGGCGACACCUGCUGAAGGGGGCCAAACAAUCUUUUGUGGUCUGGACCGACCGCAAGAAUCUCGCCUACAUCCAGUCAGCAAAGAGGCUAAAUUCUCUUCAGGCCAGGCAGAAGAGCCUGAUGGUGGAGGAGGCCUGAUGGUGGAGGUGACCUGAUAAUGGGACAGGGCCUGGCGGUGGAGGUGGCCUGAUAAUGGGACAGGGCCUGACGGUGGAGGUGGCCUCUAAUGAAAGAGCCUGACAGUGGAGGAGCCCUGAUGGUGGAGGUGGACUCCCAUAUAACAUUGUACCUACUUCAUAGACCAAUAUAAAAAAAUAGUUGUGCUAUUUUUUUUUACCUCAAUUUGUUUUAAAAUUGAAAUGUGAAAUAUUCAAUUUUCUUAUAUAUUGUUUAUUGAAUAAAUGUAAUGCAAAUAUAUGAGUUUGAGG